This 254-nucleotide ribosomal RNA is filed under the name uncultured bacterium. RNAcentral describes it as "partial 16S ribosomal RNA". It matches the Rfam family "Bacterial small subunit ribosomal RNA", at positions 524 to 776 of the family's 1533-position model. The record is from RNAcentral.
UACGUAGGGGGCAAGCGUUGUCCGGAUUUAUUGGGCGUAAAGAGCGUGUAGGCGGUUUGGUAGGUCCGUUGUGAAAACUCGAGGCUCAACCUCGAGACGCCGAUGGAAACCAUCAGACUAGAGUCCGGAAGAGGAGAGUGGAAUUCCUGGUGUAGCGGUGAAAUGCGCAGAUAUCAGGAGGAACACCGGUGGCGAAGGCGGGUCUCUGGGCCGAUACUGACGCUGGAGGAGCGAAAGCGUGGGGAGCGAACAGG